UCCGCAUGGAUAUGUUGUUAAGGUUUACCGCCUUGGGAUAGGCUUGCGUCUGAUUAGCUAGUUGGUGUGGUAAUGGCACACCAAGGCUACGAUCAGUAACUGGUCUGAGAGGAUGAUCAGUCACACUGGAACUGAGACACGGUCCAGACUCCUACGGGAGGCAGCAGUGAGGAAUAUUGGGCAAUGCACGAAAGUGUGACCCAGCAACGCCGCGUGGAGGAUGAAGGUAUUCUAUAUCGUAAACUCCUGUGAGAGCAGACGAAAGACAGAUUAUUAAUUUGGAUGACUGUAUGCUCAGAGGAAGCCCCGGCUAACUACGUG
Molecule: ribosomal RNA, 321 nt
Filed under: uncultured bacterium
Lineage: Bacteria
Description: bacterial SSU rRNA
Rfam family: Bacterial small subunit ribosomal RNA
Source: RNAcentral